GAUGAACGCUGGCGGCGUGCCUAAUACAUGCAAGUCGAGCGAACGGACGAGAAGCUUGCUUUUCUGAUGUUAGCGGCGGACGGGUGAGUAACACGUGGAUAACCUACCUAUAAGACUGGGAUAACUUCGGGAAACCGGAGCUAAUACCGGAUAAUAUUUUGAACAGCAUGGUUCAAAAGUGAAAGACGGUCUUGCUGUCACUUAUAGAUGGAUCCGCGCUGCAUUAGCUAGUUGGUAAGGUAACGGCUUACCAAGGCAACGAUGCAUAACCGACCUGAGAGGGUGAUCCGCCCACCGGGAACUUAGAGCCGGUCCCCACCCCAUCGGGGAGCAACCAGAGGGAAUCCUCCCCAAUUGGCCGAAGGCCGGAAGAGCAACCGCGGGCGCAGGCAUGAAGUCUUCCGGUCGGUAAAGCCCUGUCUUCAGGAAGAACAUAUGUGUAAGUAACUGUGCACAUCUUGACGGUACCUAAUCAGAAAGCCACGGCUAACUCCGUG
This 497-nucleotide ribosomal RNA is filed under the name uncultured bacterium. RNAcentral describes it as "partial 16S ribosomal RNA". It matches the Rfam family "Bacterial small subunit ribosomal RNA", at positions 28 to 507 of the family's 1533-position model. The record is from RNAcentral.